Molecule: transfer RNA, 86 nt
Filed under: Fibrobacterota bacterium
Lineage: Bacteria; Pseudomonadati; Fibrobacterota
Description: Fibrobacteres bacterium (bioreactor metagenome) tRNA-Leu
Rfam family: tRNA
About the family: Transfer RNA (tRNA) molecules are approximately 80 nucleotides in length.
Source: RNAcentral
GCCUGGAUGGCGGAACUGGCAGACGCAAGGGACUUAAAAUCCCUCGGUCAGAAAUGGCUGUGCCGGUUCGAUCCCGGCUCCAGGCA